GAUGAACGCUAGCUACAGGCUUAACACAUGCAAGUCGAGGGGUAACGAGAGGAAAGCUUGCUUUCCUUGUCGACGACCGGCGCACGUGUGAGUAACGCGUAUCCAACCUGCCCCCAACUAAGGAAUAACCUUGCGAAAGUAAGACUAAUACCUUAUAAUUUCAUCAGAUGUCAUCUGACGAGGAUUAAAGAUUUAUCGGUUGUGGUUGGGAAUGCUUCUGAUUAGCUUGUUGGCGGGGUAACGGCCCACCAAAGCAACGAUCAGUAUGGGUUCCUAGAGGAAGGUCCCCCACAUUGGAACUGAGACACAGUCCAAACUCCUACGGGAGGCAGCAGUGAGGAAUAUUGGUCAAUCGGCGCAAGCCUGAACCAGCCAUGCCGCGUGCAGGAUGAAGCAUCUAUGGUGUGUAAGCUGCUUUUAUACGGGAAGAAACCCUGCCACGUGUGGCAGAUUGACGGUACCGUAGGAAUAAGGAUCGGCUAACUCCGUGCCAGCAGCCGCCGUAA
RNAcentral lists this ribosomal RNA (506 nucleotides) under uncultured bacterium. RNAcentral describes it as "partial 16S ribosomal RNA". It matches the Rfam family "Bacterial small subunit ribosomal RNA", at positions 28 to 523 of the family's 1533-position model. The record is from RNAcentral.